This is a non-coding RNA of Ancylostoma duodenale, 77 nucleotides long. The record is from Rfam. Lineage: Eukaryota; Metazoa; Nematoda; Chromadorea; Rhabditida; Ancylostomatidae.
GUGUAUCGCUUCGCUUUCAUCGGUGACUUUAGUGUGAAUUGCAACUAAGGCACGCGGUGAAUGCCAAGCGAACGGGC